AUCGGUCGGGGCGUUCCGGUCGCUUCGAGUCAAAGGCCAUUGCCAUCACAUUCAUCUCAUCGCCGAAGCAGAGCGAAAACUUUAAGCGGAUUCUGGCCAAGGCAGGCACAGGCAUGUCCGUUCUGCAGUUGCCAACAGAAGGGCCGCCGUCGAAGGGAUUUAAUUACUUUGCAUUUGAUGCUUAUGAGUUUCCGUAUUACUUUAAUUCGGAAGCAAACGAGCAGGACGAGAAUUAGUUGAAUCAAAUCAAGAAGGCCACCAAACUGGCCAUUAAAAUAGCCAACGAAAAGGCAUCCAGAUAUCUGUAUCCAGUGGUGGUAAAGACACAGGAAGAGAGACAGGAGGCAGAGGCAUUCAGAGAGACAGUCAGACAGACAGCCAUAGUGACAGGAAGAGAGACAGGCAGAGAGACAGUCAGAGAGAAAGGCAGAGAGACAGGAGGCAGAGAGACAGAAAGAGAGACAGGCAGGCAAAGAGGUUCACAGACAUAAGCAACUAUAUAAGGAGGCCUCGUCCGCCCCAAUUCUCAGUGCACGUUUGCUUGUCGACGCGGAAGGUUGGUUGCGGACAACAUUUUUUUUCAAUUUUAUUUUAAAUGUUUAUUUUUUCAGAACAGUCUACUAUUAUUAUGUAUGUAUGUAUAUAUGUAUGUAGGUAUGUACAUAUGUAUGUAGUUAUGUACAUAUGCAGUCAGAGAGACAGCAAGUAGAGGGACAGGCAGAGAGGGAGACCCGUACCACCGAUUAACAAGCAACAAAUUGAUUCAUCAAUCGCUUAAAAUCUUCUUUAAGUUCUGAAAGUCUAAACUAAAUGGUAAUAUUAAUCAAAACAUCAAAAUUGAGGUAAAUAUUUAUUAUCUAUAGUAUAUAUGGAAGUGUGAACGUAUAUUAUUUUUGGUUUAUUUCUGGGGUAUUUUUGUGCUCACAUUUGAAACGCAAAAAUGCAUACGGGAGAGCGUUUCAUAGGAGAGAAUUUCCCUGACCGUUUAGAGACAGGAAUGAAUUUCCCUGUAUAUGAACAGCGCGC
Molecule: long non-coding RNA, 1026 nt
Filed under: Drosophila guanche
Lineage: Eukaryota; Metazoa; Arthropoda; Insecta; Diptera; Drosophilidae
Source: RNAcentral